RNAcentral lists this ribosomal RNA (808 nucleotides) under uncultured Paracoccaceae bacterium. RNAcentral describes it as "bacterial SSU rRNA". It matches the Rfam family "Bacterial small subunit ribosomal RNA", at positions 35 to 890 of the family's 1533-position model. Lineage: Bacteria; Pseudomonadati; Pseudomonadota; Alphaproteobacteria; Rhodobacterales; Paracoccaceae. The record is from RNAcentral.
GCUGGCGGCAGGCCUUAUACAUGCAAGUCGAGCGCAUCCUUCGGGAUGAGCGGCGGACGGGUGAGUAACGCGUGGGAAUGUGCCCUUCUCUACGGAAUAGCCACUGGAAACGGUGAGUAAUACCGUAUACGCCCUCAGGGGGAAAGAUUUAUCGGAGAAGGAUCAGCCCGCGUCAGAUUAGGUAGUUGGUGGGGUAAUGGCCUACCAAGCCUACGAUCUAUAGCUGGUUUUAGAGGAUGAUCAGCCACACUGGGACUGAGACACGGCCCAGACUCCUACGGGAGGCAGCAGUAGGGAAUCUUGGACAAUGGGGGCAACCCUGAUCCAGCCAUGCCGCGUGAGUGAAGAAGGCCCUAGGGUCGUAAAGCUCUUUCGCCUGUGAUGAUAAUGACAGUAGCAGGUAAAGAAACCCCGGCUAACUCCGUGCCAGCAGCCGCGGUAAUACGGAGGGGGUUAGCGUUGUUCGGAAUUACUGGGCGUAAAGCGCGCGUAGGCGGAUUGGAAAGUUGGGGGUGAAAUCCCGGGGCUCAACCCCGGAACUGCCUUCAAAACUCCCAGUCUAGAGUUCGAGAGAGGUGAGUGGAAUUCCGAGUGUAGAGGUGAAAUUCGUAGAUAUUCGGAAGAACACCAGUGGCGAAGGCGGCUCACUGGCUCGAUACUGACGCUGAGGUGCGAAAGUGUGGGGAGCAAACAGGAUUAGAUACCCUGGUAGUCCACACCGUAAACGAUGAAUGCCAGUCGUCGGAUAGUAUACUAUUCGGUGACACACCUAACGGAUUAAGCAUUCCGCCUGGGGAGUACGGUCGCA